CUUUAUUUAUCCUACUAAGUAUAGUAAUAAUAUCAAUUACAAUGAAAGAAAUUUUCUUCUCAACAUUUUAUUGGAAGGUUUAAUUGGUGUAAUUAUACCUUGAAUGUGAAGAGGCAUGCAAUGUGAGAUGCUCACAAAAAGGUCACAAAAAAAGAUGUUUGUUUUAUUGCAACCAUUGUUGUGGAUGGUGCCAAUGUGUUCCACCAGGAUUUGUUGGGGAAAAUAAAGAUUGUUGUCCUUGCUAUAGAGAUUGGAAGAAACAGACAGGAGAACCAAAGUGUCCAUGAAAUUAAAUUAAUUAAUGAGUAAAAGAAUGAUUUUUAUUAUAUAAUGAGUGUUAUGUUUAAUUUUCUUUAUUUGAUCUUCUUGAGAAGUGUCUCAACUCUCAUGUGCUGUUAAAAUCAAGAAUUAAUAUUAUUUGUUGAUUAUGUUU
Long non-coding RNA from Solanum dulcamara, 433 nucleotides. RefSeq lists it as uncharacterized. The record is from RefSeq and is a predicted model, not a curated record. NCBI's taxonomy places the organism in Eukaryota, Viridiplantae, Streptophyta, Magnoliopsida, Solanales, Solanaceae. The transcript has 2 exons.